GCGUGAGUGAUGAAGGCCCUAGGGUUGUAAAACUCUUUCGGCGGGGACGAUAAUGACGGUACCCGCAGAAGAAGCUCCGGCUAACUUCGUGCCAGCAGCCGCGGUAAUACGAAGGGGGCUAGCGUUGUUCGGAAUUACUGGGCGUAAAGCGCGCGCAGGCGGCCUUCCAAGUCAGAGGUGAAAGCCCCGAGCUCAACUCGGGAAUUGCCUUUGAAACUGGGAGGCUAGGGUACGGGAGAGGUGAGUGGAAUUCCGAGUGUAGAGGUGAAAUUCGU
RNAcentral lists this ribosomal RNA (275 nucleotides) under uncultured bacterium. RNAcentral describes it as "partial 16S ribosomal RNA". It matches the Rfam family "Bacterial small subunit ribosomal RNA", at positions 399 to 691 of the family's 1533-position model. The record is from RNAcentral.